Molecule: ribosomal RNA, 253 nt
Filed under: uncultured bacterium
Lineage: Bacteria
Description: partial 16S ribosomal RNA
Rfam family: Bacterial small subunit ribosomal RNA
Source: RNAcentral
UACGUAGGUGGCAAGCGUUGUCCGGAUUUACUGGGUGUAAAGGGCGUGUAGCCGGGCCUUUAAGUCAGAUGUGAAAUCCGCGGGCUUAACCCGCGAACUGCAUUUGAAACUGAGGGUCUUGAGUAUCGGAGAGGUAAUCGGAAUUCCUAGUGUAGCGGUGAAAUGCGUAGAUAUUAGGAAGAACACCAGUGGCGAAGGCGGAUUACUGGACGACAACUGACGGUGAGGCGCGAAAGCGUGGGGAGCAAACAGG